GCGGAUGUAGCUCAGCUGGUAGAGCGCAACCUUGCCAAGGUUGAGGUCGCAGGUUCGAAUCUUGUUAUCCGCUCCA
Molecule: transfer RNA, 76 nt
Filed under: Haliscomenobacter hydrossis DSM 1100
Lineage: Bacteria; Pseudomonadati; Bacteroidota; Saprospiria; Saprospirales; Haliscomenobacteraceae
Description: tRNA-Gly (GCC) (tRNA-Gly-GCC-1-1)
Rfam family: tRNA
About the family: Transfer RNA (tRNA) molecules are approximately 80 nucleotides in length.
Source: RNAcentral